This 248-nucleotide long non-coding RNA is filed under the name Homo sapiens (human). RNAcentral's name for it is "non-protein coding lnc-C5orf60-3:2". Lineage: Eukaryota; Metazoa; Chordata; Mammalia; Primates; Hominidae. The record is from RNAcentral.
AUUUCGUCUUAGCCACGCAGAAGUCGCGUGUCUAGUUUGUUUCGACGCCGGACCGCGUAAGAGACGAUGAUGUUGGGCACGGAAGGUGGAGAGGGAUUCGUGGUGAAGGUCCGGGGCUUGCCCUGGUCUUGCUCGGCCGAUGAAGUGCAGAGGUUUUUUUCUGGUGAGUUAGAACUAGGACGCGGGAGUUCGAGUUCGAGGCCGGGGCGGGCGGGCUGGCGGGCGGCCGGGCUGGGGCGGGGCGGGGC